RNA transcript from Pelmatolapia mariae (spotted tilapia), 9508 nucleotides. It is a transcript of the gene named phosphatidylinositol-4-phosphate 5-kinase, type I, gamma a, with no coding region annotated. The transcript has 18 exons. The record is from RefSeq and is a predicted model, not a curated record. NCBI's taxonomy places the organism in Eukaryota, Metazoa, Chordata, Actinopteri, Cichliformes, Cichlidae.
UUGCAAAAACCUAAAAAACGUCACCCAGAUUUUAUUUAAAAGACUGUUAACUUAUUUAUUUCUAAGCUUCUCUGAGAUUCUUUAUUAUUAAGUAUCGUCUUCUACUCACUGCAGCAGAUAAUCUGCUUCUCACCCUAUUCCUAGCACCUUCCUCCUUCACUACAUCCAAUGAAUUUUUUCUGUGGUCUUCCUCUUUUCCUCUUUCAUAGCAGCUUCAUAUUCAACAUGCUUCAUCCAACAUAUCCAUUAUCUGUCUUUUGAACAUGCCCAAACCAUCUCAGCCUUUCCUCUACAACUUUGUCUCUUACAGCUCAACCUGAUAUAUCCUUCUGAUGUGUUCAUUAUUAAUCUUAUAAAUUCAUACAUUAUAAAUGUAUUACUUCUACUCCUUGCAAAGGUACCCAUUUGUCACUCCUACCAGUCCUAGAUCCACAAAGACACAUUACCUUGUGACCUUCUCUCCAUCAACACUCUCAAAGCAAUUCUCACAUCUGUAUUGCUUUCACAAAUCUUCAUGGUAUGGCUCAUUAUCUUUAUCCCUGUGUAAUUACUAAAACUGUACAAAUCAACCCUGUUCUUGAAAAUCUGCACCAGUACACUUGUUCUCCAUUUCUCAGGCAUUAUCUGACUCUCUAAGGUUAAAAACUCCUGGAUGUUUCCAUACGUCCACAAAGUAUGUCAUCUGGAUAAGUAAAUGAAAUAAGUUAAACGUAUAACAGAAACAUACUGAGCCCCAUAAAAAAACACAAGAGCCCUGAAAUGUUAUGCAACUGCUCAGCUAAAUCUCCUGCUUGCAGUUCACUGAGAGUCCUGCAGAGGGAGUCACAGGGCCCAUCAGUACAAAACCAGGCGGCAGCGGCUCAGCAGCAGCAGCAAGUGCAGUGCAGAGGAGCUGGAAGAGGCAGACUGUGUGCUGCUGUCGUGAGGAAACACUGCACAGAUGAAGGGACCGUCGCGGAUAGCUGUCGUAUAUUCCUCCGUUUGAUUACUGUUACACAUCAAACGACCCGAUCCUCUUUCCCUCCACCGGGAUCGCGCCGUCGCUGUGGGUCUUUCAUUCGGAGGGACUCGCCUGUUUUUUCCUCCGGGAGGCUGAAUGGAAGCAGCAGCCGAGGGAGCGGUCGGGCUGUCGGAGGCCAGGGAAGGGAGCCCGCUGUCCGGGGCCGCAGCAUCCGAUGAUGCGGACACGGUUGUGGGAGUUAGCUACGGGAUGGACGCCGCAGACAUGGAUGCAGCUGCUAAGAAAGCCUUCAUCACAGAGAUGGCCUCAUCCUCAGGCCAGCCUGGUCAAGGAAAGAAGAUUGGCCACAGAGGGGUGGACGCAUCAGGGGAGACUACUUAUAAGAAGACCACAUCAUCAGCCUUGAAAGGUGCCAUCCAGCUGGGCAUCGGUUACACAGUGGGUAACCUGAGCUCCAAGCCUGAGAGAGAUGUGUUAAUGCAGGACUUUUACGUGGUGGAGAGCAUCUUUUUCCCCAGUGAAGGAAGCAACCUUACUCCAGCCCAUCAUUUCCCGGAUUUCCGCUUUAAAACGUACGCUCCUGUGGCCUUCCGCUACUUCAGAGAACUGUUUGGCAUCAGGCCGGAUGACUACCUGUACUCCCUGUGCAACGAGCCUCUGAUCGAGCUGUCCAAUCCUGGAGCGAGUGGCUCAGUCUUCUACCUUACCAAGGAUGAUGAGUUCAUCAUCAAGACUGUGAUGCACAAGGAGGCUGAAUUCUUACAGAAACUGCUGCCUGGAUACUACAUGAACUUGAAUCAGAACCCUCGCACUUUGCUGCCCAAGUUUUUCGGCCUCUACUGUGUCCAGUCAGGUGGCAAGAACAUCCGUGUGGUUGUUAUGAACAAUGUCCUCCCCCGCGUGGUGCGCAUGCACCUCAAGUACGACCUGAAGGGAUCCACCUACAAGAGGCGAGCGUCCAAGAAGGAGAGGGAGAAGGCCAGGCCCACCUUCAAAGACCUGGACUUCAUGCAAGACUUGCAGGAUGGCCUGAUGAUGGACCAGGACACUUACAAUGCCCUGACCAAGACCCUGCAGAGAGACUGCCUGGUGCUGGAAAGCUUUAAGAUCAUGGACUACAGCCUGCUGCUUGGGGUCCACAACAUCGACCAAGCGGAGAGGGAGAGGCAGAUGGAGGGCUCCCAGGGUGACAGCGAUGAGAAAAGGCCCGUGGCCCAGCAGAAGGCUCUUUACUCCACAGCCAUGGAGUCCAUCCAGGGGGGAGCUGCCUGCGGAGGGUCUAUUGACACAGACGACACGAUGGGCGGUAUCCCCGCCGUUAACGGAAAAGGAGAAAGGCUUCUUCUCUUCAUCGGACUCAUCGACAUCUUGCAGUCUUACAGGUUAAUCAAGAAACUGGAACACACGUGGAAGGCUUUGGUUCAUGAUGGGGACACUGUAUCGGUCCACCGGCCAGGAUUCUAUGCCGACAGAUUCCUGAAGUUCAUGAGCGCCACAGUUUUCAAGAAGAGCUCCUCUUUGAAGUCCUCUCCGUCAAAGAAGGGUCGUGUGUCCUUGACGGUGCCCAAGUGUGGUGGUCCUGGUGCAGCUUGGUCAGCCAGCCAGCUGCCCUCUGAGAGAGACGAGAAUAUCUACGACCUGAGAGGAGCUCGCAGCUUCCCAACUCUGGAGGACGAGGGGAGACCAGAUCUUCUUCCAUGUACUCCUCCAUCAUUCGAGGAGGCCACAACAGCAUCAAUUGCCACCACGCUCUCCUCCACCACCUCUUUGUCCAUUCCUGAGAGAUCUCCUUCUGACACGGCCGAACACCCCCGCUACAGGAGGCACACCCAGUCACUUAGCCAUGAUGGGAGGACCCAGGAGGAGCUGCGUGUGCGUGAGGAGGAUCAGCAGACCAUCACAGUGGAGGUGGAGCUGAAGAGACACGACAGUGAGCCCACCAUCUCUGUUCCUCAGCCCUCACCUGAAAUCAGUGACGUUCAGGAAGUAGCCGGCGCAGAGGCUCUAGACGGUGCCGCAGCAGAACCUUCAGGCUCUUCGUCAGCACCUGAAUCUGCCUCCUCCGCAUCCUCGUCUGCUCUAGCUGCUUCCUCCUCCCCGGGGCCACCCGAAGAGGCCACAUAUAGCCCAAAGGAGGCGGUGGCAGUGGAAGCAGACAGGGCCAGCCAGGUGUCCGGUUCAGGGUGCACCAGUCAGGCUUCGGUUGAUGACGACGACGAUGUGCCAAUCACAGAUAUCUACUUUAUGCGCUAACACAUGGACCACAGGAAAGGAGUGGAGGAUCAGGCUGGUAUGGGAAAAGGAGUGUGCGCAGCUCUUGUUUGCAGUGUGUGGUGCUUUCAGCUAAUUGAAAUGUUUUGGGAAACAUUUUGCUUUCUUGCUGGAGGCAAGUUAUAAGACUGAUAUCUGUUAUCCUGUUUUUAAUGCUCAGCUUAGUCUGUUGGCAGGUAGAUUAGCGUUUAGAUGUGAGAGUCGAGUCACUCUUCUCAUCUACCUCUUAGCAAGAGGCAUAUUUCCCAAAAUGUUUUCUUUAAACACAGGUGUGCGCUUCGGUUUGGAGUGUUUGCUGAGUGAUGUUAGAGUGAUGUAUACCUUCACUUUGUUGCUCCUGUCUCAAAUGAUCUUGAGCCAACCUUGAGCCACACACACACUCACAGGAUUUUUCUAAAUAACAUUUAAAGCUUUUUUCUUUUUUUUUCCAUUUGCAUCUCUCAGUCUCAGUACUGUCAGAUAGUAUUGUGCUAGCAGUGUACCCAAAAGCGUAGCUAUAAAUGAAUGUAUGAGCAUCGGGUGAAGGAGAGCAGAGCUACUGAUCACAGUUACAGAUAGAAACGUUCUCACUUGGCCUGUCAGGAAUUAAACACCUUCUAAUGUGGCUUUGAGAAACUUUAAUGACCAACAGGUUGGUCUGUGAGCUCCCUCAGUAAUUUAACAGCCCUCUCAUCUAACCGGCUGUGGCUGACGCCCAUUUCAAGCUUCAAAAGCAGGAGAUCCUCUCUCUGUGCACAGCAGCAGGGGGUCUGUAGCACUGCGUGACAAAAAGUGACACCACACACAUCCUGAAGUGUAACUACAAAGAAGCAUGCCACAGGCAGAGCGCUCAGAAGGGACUUCAUGGAGUGGCAAAGAGCUUGUUGUUCUAUUAGCUGCUGAUAAAAUGCCAACAACACAAACUACAGUAUAAAAGGAAUAUGGGCAAGUGUGUUUAGACUGGAUUUGUACCACAAUACUCAGUUUAGCCUUUCGUCUUUUUGUGCUCUCCCCUCGCACCGAAGAAUAAAUUGGAUUUCUGCAUGAUUGCCCAAACUGCUGGCUCCAAUCUUAAACACUUCAGGUGCUGCUCCAGUUCAUUCACACAUGAAGAGCAAGACUCAUGUUUCUGAAAUUAUUUCUCAGAAGUUUCAAAUGAAAUUAUUAACAUGCUACAAUCUGGAGCAGUGUUUAAAUGCCUAAUGUCUAAAAUUUAUUUCUAUAGAACAUAAUAUUCCAAAAAAGUUGACCAAAGUGCUUCACAGUCGGUCAGAGCAAUAGACAGAAUAAAAAAACAGCUAAAAGGAGGGCAGGAAACAAUAUGGGUAAACAGCAUAACUAGCCACGAAAUAACAAACUAGUUUGCAUCAAAAGCCAGACCAAAAUAAUACGUUUUAAGACGCAAUUUAAAAGACUGGAUGGAUUCGGAGGAACAAAUAUAAGGAGGGAGGUUAUUCCAGAGUCUGGGUGCUAAGAUAACAAAGGCCCGAUCACCUCUGGACUUCAGUUGAGACCUCGGUUGCGUCAGGAGCAUUUGAUUGGAAGAUCUAUGUCCUCUAUUAAGAAUAUACAAAUGGAGGAGUUCACAUAGAUAGCUGGGAGCCAAAUUGUUUCAAAUUUUAGAGGUAAAUUGAUACAAUGCAAGUUGGCUAAAACUGGUGUGAUGUGAUCAUAAUUUCUAGUGCCAGUUAAGAGACGCGCAGCUGCAUUUUGAACUAACUGGAGCCGGUGAAUAGAAGAAUAUGGGAGGCCCGAGUAGAGAGAAUUACAGUAGUCCAAUUUGGAAGUGAUAAAAGCAUGAAUGAGCUUUUCAAGAUCCAUCAAGGGAAGGUAUGGCUUUGCUUUAGAUAGAUCAAGAUCACACUCAGGUCUGUUGGGACUGCAGAAAAUAUCCGUUUACAUCACUCCUAUAAAAAAUAUCUCUUUAAUCUGACUUUCUGCACAUUUUGGUUUGCUUAUUUUAACACCACCAAAUUAUGGGAACGUUUUUUACUAGAGAAAAUCAAUAUGAAUUAGAUUUCAGUGCUUGUGAGAUUUGUUCCAUCAUUUCUGCAAGGAGGAGCGAAUUGUGAUGCAUAAAAACCCAGUUUAUCAUCCCAAGACUGUUUGAUAGUCUAUCAAGCUGCUGAAACAAUUUAAUGGUUUUAAAUUGUAGAUUUUUUAGAGAUGGAAAUUAAGUAUAUGUCUGAAUUUUGAAGAGUUGUCAGCAUUUAAGCUUGUGUAUUUCCCCAUUAAAAACAUCACAGCUGUGAGACUGAAAAGAAGAGAUUGAUUGGGAGUUUAGUUUUUAUGAUUCACAUCCGUACUCACAUCAUGUGUUUGUUUCUCUUCUUUUGCCCACUCUCAUUUCUGUUGCCUCUCAUGUCCACCCCAUUGACCCGUUACACCUCCUCGCUCAAACGUUCAGUUUUUUGCCAUUCCCUUUCCACCUCACAUCCUUUGUUUACUCCCUCCAUGCUCUCUCUCUUCUUUCACAUGUUCUCAUUAUUGUGAUUUUCUUCAGAAGCCAUAAUGAAAGUGCCGAGAUGGUGGUGUUGUAUGCAAGCGGGAAAUGAAAACAGAGGCGGCAGCCAAACACGUGAAUCUAGCUGUGACCACCGACUUAUCCAGUGUAUCCGUGCCUUUUCCAUUUUCACCCCAGCAUGCUUCCUUUUUUUUUUUUUUUUCAGUGUUUUAUUUUGAGUUUUCCUCCUCGCCCCCAUGUCCCCCUCCACCCUAUUUUCAGCUUUUCAUCUGUCUUUGUUUGUCCAUCUGUCAUGUACCUCUGCUGUUGUCAGUUUCCUGAUGGGAGGACCUGGGUGGUCUCUCCUUUCCGACAACGGAGGAAAUGCCAGUCUGGUCAGCCAUAAAUCCUGUUUUCUGGCAGACAGGAGUGAACGUCUCAGCGGAGAGGACUCAUCAGUCUAAAGUCCAGACCUCAGUGGCAGCAGCGCGAUCUCUGUCUGAACCAGGAUUUAAAAACAUGCAUACAGAAACACACUGAGAGGAAAAAGUGACUGUACCAGAGUACCAGAGGGAGAAAACAAAAAACCCUGACAGUGAUGAUAUCACUGGUUUGCAACCAUCCCUGCCUUUCACCCUUUGACAAAUGAAAUUUAUUACAUCAGUUUAAUAAAUAAUUGUAUGUGUGACAUAGUGCGCAUAAGGCUGUAUGUAGUCUUGUAUGUUUGACACACCCAAAAGACCACGAUAACCUACUUUUUGUUCUGUUUCACACUAACACAGCCCUCCAACCGACUCUUUCCCGCCGAAUCUCUGAAAGACAUUUUUAUUCGUCAUAUCCUUUAUGUUGCAAAGCAGAUUUCUCUACAGGUCACACAUACUAGCCAGCAGUCAUCUCCUGGGUUCUGUGAUCAAACAAAACCACGAGCAGCUCAUUAAAACAUUGCUCCAUGACACAAAUGCGGGUUAAAAAAAUGCUAAAUUGAGUGGAUGCUCCUUAUAGAAAUGUACCUGUAAGUUUUAAAGUAUUAAAGUUUUCCAAUUUUAAGCAACUGUUCAUCUUUUGUAGCGAGGCUUUAAUGAAGUUAUAUUAGUGCUACUACUGCCUUCAGUUCUCAAUAAAGAAAAUGAAUGGCACAUCCAGAACUAGGAGCAUAUAAAGUAUUUUCUCCCAGUAAGGAAACCUAAUUUGAGGAAAAAUGAAAUUAAACUCGUUAAUCUCAAAAUUAUCUCCAGUGCAAUUACCUCAGACUGCAGCAUAUCAGUCAUCCUGUGACUGCGCUGGCUGCUGUGUUUCCAACCAGUUUGAAGGAAAUCUCCAGCUCAGUGGUAGUAAUUGCUGCCAGUAUGGUGCCCAUUUCCACUAUGCCGCUGGUGUUGAAGUUAAUUAGCUGUGUCUGCUUUUCUAUGAUAAUCUUACCAGAGGUCAUCAUCACAAAGUUCAGAACAGUUUGAUGCUAAAAGAUUUUUGCAAAACCAAGUGUGCAAAGUACGUCUUACUAGGCGGCCACCAUAGCCUAACAUAACUCUGAUAAAUAGGGCUUUUUCUUUUUUUUUUCUCGAGUCAGUGGAUUACUCUUCUGUAUCCCGUGAUGUUGGAGGGCUCUGUGCUCGCAGAACAGGAGUUACAGUGAAAACCACUUUGAGCCAAUCAAAGCAGAACAUCCAGAUAUCUCUGUCAUCCUUUCAAGUAGUGAAAAUAUGCAGUUUAACUUUAAAAAAAAAAAAAAAAAAUCAUCUACAGCAUUAUUAAAACUUAAGUCCUGUUGUUACAUUUUCAUUUCUAAACUUUUCUUCAGCUGUUUUUACUACUGUGAACUUUUAUUUAUUUGUCUGUUUGUAUUUGAUUGUAAUAUUCACGACUGGUACUUUUCACUCACAGUUUUUUUAAAAUCUAUUUGCAUCCAAAGACUUAGUUUUUGUUUUGCUCAUUUUCUUCACUGCGGUAUUUUGCGGUAUUUUGUUCUCUUUUUCAUGUGUUGUCUAAUUCAGUGUUGUUUUUCACUGCACCACAUGUUGUUCCAAUAGCUGAGGGUGAUGACUCUUGCCUUCAAAAUAGAAGGCGUCAAUUUCAACACUAAGGCAGCAGACAUUGUCAUUACAGUAAUUUUCAUGUCUACACAAUGUCUUCCAGUGUUGCCCUGCUUUUGGACCGACGCACAGGGAUCAUUUGUAACAGUAGAAUCAGCAUAUCAGUUACUUUUUCUACAUCACCUCCUCACGUCAAGAAAUCGGGGAAUCUUUCCAAUGUUUGUAGAUGUAGAGCACCAGUUGUAGUGUUUGCGGUCGAUAUCGUAGCUGUUACCUGUAUAUUCCAGUGAACGCAGUGCGUGUUGGCUUGGUGAGACACAGCAGUUUGUGAAUGGGUUGAAUGUCGUUUGCACUCAUUAAAAGGACCUGAAGAUGAACUAGUUGUAGAGGCCAAAUAAACACUCGUCACAUUAUCCAGAAGUCAUAUUUUCGAGUUCUUAGAUAAGAGUCUCUGCUCACACAUGCUGAUAUUUGGACAGUAUUUAUUUUAGGAUUGUGUGUGUGUGUGUGCACAUGUGUCUUUGACAUCAAUCACAGUCAUUGUACAUUUAGUGUUUACUGUAGUCUCUCUGUGGCUGACAUCUUAAAGACUUAAAGAUUUGGGUUUUUUUUUUUUUUUAAACUAACUACAGGCAGUUUCUUCGGUUCGUUGGUACCUUUUUAUGUGUGUUUGUGUGUAAGGGAGGACACAUCAAUGUCAGGUGUUGUAAAAUAAGAAUCGGUUUGUUCUCAUGAUGUGCAGUGGCCAGUUGUAAUCAGUUUGCUGUUGUUCAUCAGAUGAAGACCAUAGCAGCAAUAUUUUGUACAGUUUAGCUUUUACGUUAAUUGCCUUAUUAGGAAAUUUUACAUGUAGGUCUGUUGUUUAUAUUUUUUUUUCCACUUGUGCUGUAAUAUUUAUUUUUCUUUCUCAUAGUUGUGCUCCUGAGAAUGUGUACAUAAAACUAUAAAUACAUAUAUAAAGAUAUACAAAUAUAUUUUCCAUUUGAAUCGGGAAAAUAUUAUUUUUAUUUGGUUUCAUUUUUGCUGCUGGGCAAGAAAUGAUUGCAAUCUACAUGAUUUUACUGUACCAUAUUCUUCGGUGUGUUUAUUGAGAUGCAGCUGCUGUAUAUUUAUGGUUUGCAAACCACGGCUGUGUCUUUGUAUGAUAUCCAAAACCGAAAGAUUUGUGGGGUUUAAUGUACAUGCAGAUCAAUAGGGAUUCUUCCAACUGUUCAGCUGUGUUGUGUGUGUUUUCAAAUCCCUGUGUGCCCUCAUCCAAUAGGGAGAGUCCUUUACAGAGACAUAGCAUGAUUUCAAAAUGAAUAUGCAUAUCAGAAAUGUGUAUUUAUGUAUAUCUGUGUAAAUUCAUCUAUUUAUACAUGAGGAUAAAUAGAUGGCUGUGUGUGCGUGUGUUUGGACUCAAUCAGAAUGAAUACAAAAUAAAGCAGUUCUAUGAAUUGUUGUCCAUGGAGAUGAUGUGUUUUAGUUGGUUCUUUGUUGGGUGGUUUUUCUUCUUUUGGCGGCUCUGUUUGACUACAUUGGAUCAUCUAGCCUCCAUGUCACCAUAACCAUAGCAUCCACCUCUGUAACGCCAACCCUCUACAUGUCCUCCUUCAUCCGUGAAGCUUCUCUGAGGUCUUCCUCUUUUCCUCCUGCCGGUCAGCUCCAUAUUCAACGUCCUUCAUCCAAUAUAUCCACUAUUGCACAUGAACCAUCUCAGCCUCGUCUCUCUAACUUUGUCUCCAAACACCUCAACCUGAGUUGUCCCUCUGAUCUAAUUUCUAAUCCUGUCCAUCCUGGUCCCUCCCAAUAAAAUCAUGACAUUUUUAGCUCUACCACCUCCAA